UUAUCUGAACUUGCAGCGUGCCGAAAGCUGAUCAGGCGCUUUUCCCUGGAGAGUCACUGGAACACAUAUGCGACGCACCAUGGAGGACACGGCUGUGCAGCUGCUUCAGAAGGAUAAGGAGGCGUGUUCCUGUCAGACUGUCCGGCAUCAGCGUCAGUGACGACAGCGACCUGUCUUCCCCUAAGACUUUGGGCACGAAGACGCAGCUCUUCGAAAACCGUUAUCUGCACCUGCUUAACAAAGGACGACCGCGGAAGCACAGCAUUUUCGGGAAACGCAAAGACAGCGCUUCGAACUGGGAUAAUUUUCUCCGCGGAGACAGACACCAAAGGCCGGUCGCCAAGCAUACCCUUCACAGCGUAACGGAGAACAAAGAGCCUAAGGACAGCCAUCUGAAAGUACCAGGAAGUUGUUUCGGUGAUGACCGCAUCAAGCAUUUCAUCGACGAAGAAGAAGACGAAUGCAAUUCCAAGAUAUGAC
This is a long non-coding RNA of Ornithodoros turicata, 480 nucleotides long. RefSeq lists it as uncharacterized. The record is from RefSeq and is a predicted model, not a curated record. NCBI's taxonomy places the organism in Eukaryota, Metazoa, Arthropoda, Arachnida, Ixodida, Argasidae. The transcript is spliced from 4 exons.